Molecule: long non-coding RNA, 2065 nt
Filed under: Homo sapiens (human)
Lineage: Eukaryota; Metazoa; Chordata; Mammalia; Primates; Hominidae
Description: HSALNT0120662
Source: RNAcentral
CCUGGCCUGGCCUCCCAAAGUGCUGGGAUUACAGUCAUGAGCUACCAUGCCCAACCAGCAUCAGAUUCUUUAAAGCUCCGCAAGGGGAGUCCAAUAUGCAGAUGAGAUUGAAAGUGACUGAUGUAGACCAGGUCCUGGGGAUCUUGUGAAAAUGCAGAUACUGCCUCCCUAGACCUGGAGUAGGGGCACAAGAUUCUUUCUAAUGUGCUUCCAGGUGAUGUUGAUGCUGAUGGUCUGCUGACCACAUCUUGAGAAAGGAGGGAAGAGCCAUCUGAUGGAUUCUCUGGCUACAUAAAAAGAGCUGAGAUAGCAAAGUCAGACAGACCUGGAGGAGAGCAAGGGUAGUGACCAGGCAUAUGAUUACUGGAGUAAAUUGCCUGGCACCCUUUCUUCCUAGUGAUGUGACCUUGGGCUAGUUAUUUAAAGUUGCCUUCAUCUGAUGAUGGAGAUAUAACAUAAUAUAAUACAUAGGGUGGGUGUGAGAACUGAGCAGAACACCACGGACACCGUGGUACGCAUGUGUGAGUUAUUAGCAUUAUUAUUACGUAUCCCAAUUCCACCACUUACUAGCUUUGUGCUGUUGGUAAGUGUAUUAGUCCAUUCUCACACUGCUGUAAAGAACUACCUGAGACUGAGUAAUUUAUAAAAAGGACGGUUAAUUGACUCACAGCUCUGCAAGCUAUACAGGAGGCAUGUCUGGGAAGGCCUCAGGAAACCUACAAUCAUGGCAGAAGGCGAAGUGGAAGCCAGCAAGUCUUAUGUGGUAGGAGCAGGAGGAAGAGAGAGCAAAGGGGGAAGUGCUACGCACUUUCAAACAACCAGAUCUUGUGAGAACUCACUCGCUAUUGUGAGAAAAGCAAGGAGGAAAUCCACCCCCAUGAUCCAAUCACCUCUCACCAGGUCUCUCCCCCAACAUUGGGGAUCACAAUUCAACAUGAGAUUUGGGUGGGAACACAGAGCCAAACUAUAUCAGCAAGUUGCUUAACCUCUCUGAGCUCCAGUUUCCUGCACUGUAAAAUGGGGAAUCAUAAUAUCCAUCAAUCUCCUUAUAAGAUUGGAAAGAUAAAGAAACUAUAUGUAAAAUUCUUAGCACAAUGUUCGAUCCAUGUGCAUGCUCAAUAAGUGGUUAUUCCUCAAAUUAGUUUCAUUUGUAUUGGGAUAAAUCAUUGUUCCCUCCCAUAGGUACAUUUUCUAUUUAACCAGUUGCCAGUUCUCAGAAUCUUCUCCUGCCCCCCACACCACACAGGCUGCAGAUUGUAGGGAUAGAUGACAGAGGAUGGGAGGCUCAUCUCACUCUCUAUUUCAAUACGUUCUACUUCAACAGCAGGGCUUGUUUUUAUUACCUUAUUGAGUUCACAUGGGUAGCUUUUGGCAGCAGCAAUUAUUCUCCUUAUUACUCUACAGAUGAAGAAAUAGAUUUGGCUCUGAUAUGUUGGAUUUUCUCAAGCAAGUCCCAUAUCGAAAAUAAAAGCGUUUAAUUCUAAUCAGAGACAGCCGGGAAAAAAAGAAAAAAAAAAAAAACCUCCUGGCUUCCUGCCUCUUGAAAGCCUCUCCUUCAAAAUGUUUUGAGGACCUGCAAUGUGCCAGGAAUAUUACAGCAAAUGAGUCUUCUUUGGUGGUCCAGCCACACCAGCCCUUAUACUUCACAGCGUGAGUGCCACUAAAUCUGUGUUGCUGAGUCUGCUGUUUGCAUGCAGGAAUGUGAAGGACUGCUCAAGUUGGAGAUACAAAUUGAAGCCAGCCCCAGUUCAAAACUGUUACAAAUGGAGUCUGUAGGCAUGAGGGGCUGACUAUAUAACUCAGAGUUCUCCAGUACUUUACUUUAAUAAAGAACACAAUCUUUAUUAAAGGAUAAGUAAUAAAAAUGUGUUGAUGUGCAACUUAUGGAUCUAUUAUUAAAACUCAACAGUCAUUGCAGCAAUGUUUAGAACUUAAGCAAACAAAAGUUUUGUGAGGGGGCAAUUUUAUCAAUGACAUUGUUUAGAAAUGUUGGUAGAUGGUGAUCAUAAAAAGCAGAUCAAUGUUUUAUUUCACUUGGGUUUUUAAAAAUUAUUUUUAAAAAAUU